UUUUACCGCCCAUUGCUUCAUUGAAGAAUCGACAUCAUCUCCUACUAAUAAGCAAUUUGGUUACCUUCAACUCAUUCCCCUCGUAGCAAUUUCAAAAUCUGUCUUUUCCAUAAGUACAAUCGCAUAAAAUAAGCUCCCUAAAACCCUAGCGCCCAGGAAGAAGAUAAACACUUUGAUUUGUGCACCAACUACUACCACUUUUGUUGAUACAACAUUAUUCCAGUGCUUGGUUCCUUCUAUUGUUACUGAAGAGCUUAGAGAAAAUGUGUAUAAAACUACUGGAUUAACAUGUAGUGUUGGAGUUGCACCAAAUCGGUUACUUGCAAAAGUUUGCUCAGAUAUAAACAAGCCAAACGGACAGUUUGUUUUACCUAAUGAUUGGGUUGCUAUAAUGACAUUUAUAUCCUCACUUCCUAUACGAAAGGUAGUGCAAAAUGACUUAUAUACCCUUUACCCUAAUUUCACUUUUUUGUCUUACCAAAAUUCAUCUUUUAGAUUCGGGGAAUUGGAAAAGUAACAGAGCAUAUCUUAAAAGUUGUAUUUGAGAUCAAGACAUGUGUAGAUUUGUUGCAAAAAAACUCCUUACUUUUUGCACAAUUCUCUCCUUCAUCUGCAUCUGAAGGGUAUUGUUUUGUUUUUGAAAUUUUAAUUUUUGUUAGUAAAAAGACGAUACUACCCCUGAUGGUUUUUGUACAAUGUAGAGUUAUUUGUGUCUGUAGGGUUAGGACUUGGGGGAACAGAAGCACCGAAUGUUAGAUCAUGAAAAAGUAUGAGCAAUGAGAGAACAUUUUCUGCAACUAAAUAUGAGACCUUUUUUAAUCAGAAGUUAGGUCAUUUAUCAUUUUAUCAUUUUUUUCUGCUGACAUGGAGAAGCAAGGUAUACAUGGAAAGACAUUGACACUCAAACUAAAAGCCGCAUCAUUUGAGGAUUGCGUAUGUCUCGUUUUAAUGAAGAUAAAGGUGGCAGUGGUGUAUCUGAUCCUACACAAAGAACCCUUUUGAAUUUUAUAAAAUCUGGAGAUGAUAACAGGGAAAGUGUAGAUAACGAGCAAUCAGAUUCAGAUACAUGUUUUGAUCAUUUUUCUAAAAAGAAAAUUUAUCGCAAUAUCAAGCUCUAAGCUUUGAAGACUAAAAGAAUUUAAGUUAUAAUUUAAUUAAAAUUAUUUUUAAAUUAUUCA
Molecule: non-coding RNA, 1178 nt
Organism: Lactuca sativa (garden lettuce)
Lineage: Eukaryota; Viridiplantae; Streptophyta; Magnoliopsida; Asterales; Asteraceae
Source: RefSeq, a predicted model, not a curated record